UGUUAAUCACAAAGAAGCAUUAUUUUUAUUGCAAGAAACGAGAUUAUAUAGUAUCAAGAGGAGCAUAAUAUGGUAUACAUGAUUUUUUUUUAUCAAUAAAGACUUUUAGAAAAUUUGAGAAGA
RNAcentral lists this long non-coding RNA (123 nucleotides) under Polistes fuscatus (common paper wasp). RNAcentral's name for it is "uncharacterized LOC122523702". The record is from RNAcentral. Lineage: Eukaryota; Metazoa; Arthropoda; Insecta; Hymenoptera; Vespidae.